Molecule: long non-coding RNA, 635 nt
Organism: Homo sapiens (human)
Lineage: Eukaryota; Metazoa; Chordata; Mammalia; Primates; Hominidae
Source: Ensembl
AACAUCUUCACCACAGUCUUAUUAGGAUUAAAUAAGGUCAAAGUUGUUGCAGCAGCAGUAGCAGGAGAAAGGGCUAAGUUCUAUAUGUAUGUGAGAGAAUGAUUAUUGCAAUUGUAGGCUAUAAAACACAUACCACUUGUAUUGUUCCUGAAGGAGGUACUCGAUAACCCCUUUUACCAAGGGACUCUAAAGUAAUCACACCCUUGAAAUAAAAGAAGACAAAUUGAGUACAAACUGAUGCAUAUGUACAUAAAAGACUAAAAUAAGAAUAACUCAUGUAAUUUAUUAAAAUUUCAGAAUUCUAUUUCUAUGGAAAAACAUUCAUAUUGAAUUAAUAGAGAUACAUUCUAUGUUUCUACCCCUAAGGAAACAUUUUACUGUUCCUCCUGGUGAUGUCGCUAUAAAGAAUAUAUAACAUCAAUGGCCACAGCACUCAAAAUUACUAUUAAGAUAUAGGAAUAAAAGAAAGAAGUUCCUAACUAAAAAGGAAAUAAAGGAAGGUAAUAGGACCCUUCCCAUGUAUCUUGAGGGAGAGGGGAAAUGAAGAAGCAAGUAAUUUAUUGGUCUUCGGGCAUGUAAAAAGUCACAAGUGUAGGAAAGUAAGCCUUGGCCAAAAAUAAAGUCAAUUCUUCAGU